UGGGGAAUUUUGGACAAUGGGGCGAAAGCCUGNUCCAGCAAUGCCGCGUGUGUGAAGAAGGCCUUCGGGUUGUAAAGCACUUUUGUCCGGAAAGAAAUCCUUGGCUCUAAUACAGUCGGGGGGAUGACGGUACCGGAAGAAUAAGCACCGGCUAACUACGUGCCAGCAGCCGCGGUAAUACGUAGGGUGCAAGCGUUAAUCGGAAUUACUGGGCGUAAAGCGUGCGCAGGCGGUUUGCUAAGACCGAUGUGAAAUCCCCGGGCUCAACCUGGGAACUGCAUUGGUGGCUGGCAGGCUAGAGUAUGGCAGAGGGGGGUAGAAUUCCACGUGUAGCAGUGAAAUGCGUAGAGAUGUGGAGGGAAUACCGAUGGCGAAGGCAGCCCCCUGGGCCAAUACUGACGCUCAUGCACGAAAGCGU
RNAcentral lists this ribosomal RNA (418 nucleotides) under uncultured bacterium. RNAcentral's name for it is "partial 16S ribosomal RNA". It matches the Rfam family "Bacterial small subunit ribosomal RNA", at positions 355 to 762 of the family's 1533-position model. The record is from RNAcentral.